AAUGAACCCAUCUUAUCAUGAAUUUGAGACAUCUUUAUAAAGUUUGGAGGUUGGCAUUAAAUUAGGAAAAAAAUGUUUCUCUCUUCUUACUGAAGAGCUGAAUCUGACUUAAGAUAUCUGACUUAAAAGCAACAGCAUACCUUAGCAUUUUACUGGGUUUUAUAAGAAAUGAUGUUAAUAAUCUGACUAACUAAUGUAAAGAUAGUUAUUUCCCUGGAAACAUACAACACAGCAAACUGCACCUGAAGCAACCUUCACAGAAAGCUAUAUUCCCAUUGCCAAUUGUUUUUAUCUUCCUCUUUUUCUUUUUCCUUUAUUUUUUCCUUUGUUUUUUUUUCUUUAUUUUUUUUUCUUUUUUCCCUGUGUGGAAAUAGCACUUUUCUUCCUAACAUAGAAUACUUAUUGUAGGUUUAAUAACUGGCCAUUUGAGAGCAGCUCCUUAUCUAGUAAUGAAUCCUCUGGAGAAAGCCACCUGAUUUGCAAUUGCAGUUGCUCAAGAUGCAUAUCCUCAUUCAAGGUUGUAAGGGAAAAUGAGCCUUGUGAAACUGCUGGAUAUGGGUAAAUCAGCCUGCUCUAACUUCAAAAUGUCUGCUUGGGUACUAGAAACCCUGAACCUCAGCUGAAACAGGAAUGGGGCCAGCUUCCUUGUCCCUCCAAAAUGUAUUGUCUUCAUACCUUAUCUCUUUGGAUGUUUUUUUUGUUUUGUUUUGUUUUGUUUUGUUUUGUUUUGUUUUGUUUUGUUUUGUAGGAACUGCUGGGAUCUGCCACACUGGAAGAUCUGAAAGAGCACAACCUAGCCCAGGUUGGAUUAUCCAUUGAUCUGUCAUGGCUUUUACCUGUUGAAGAACGGGUCUUCUACUGGUGCACAAAGAGCUGGAGCUGUGCUUGCCUCUCCUCUCCAGGCAAAUCAACAAGGAAAGAGGUAAGCAAUCAGCUCCCAUCCAGCAGAUUCAUGCUUAGGACAUGUGAAAGUGACUCAUGAGAGUUCCUCCAGUGCUGGGGAACAGGUUAAAAUGCGGUAGGGCAGGAGACAGCCCAGCUCUGCCACUUAUGCUCAGAUGUGCAAAAUUAUUUCCCAGUGAAACUGGAGGGACUUUAAGUGCAUAAUUGUGCAUCAGGCCUUUGCUUUUCCACCUGCACAACUCCGUAUUUAUAUAAAGCGGGGAUAAUAUUUCUCUAUAUAAUAAAGGGUUUACAAGAUCAAAGUGCA
RNAcentral lists this long non-coding RNA (1210 nucleotides) under Coturnix japonica (Japanese quail). Its description in RNAcentral is "lncRNA (ENSCJPG00005012734.1)". The record is from RNAcentral. Lineage: Eukaryota; Metazoa; Chordata; Aves; Galliformes; Phasianidae.